Molecule: ribosomal RNA, 301 nt
Filed under: uncultured bacterium
Lineage: Bacteria
Description: partial 16S ribosomal RNA
Rfam family: Bacterial small subunit ribosomal RNA
Source: RNAcentral
CAGUAGCCGCGGUAAUACGUAGGGGGCUAGCGUUGUCCGGAAUCAUUGGGCGUAAAGCGCGUGUAGGCGGCUUGACAAGUCUGCUGUGAAAGUCCAGGGCUCAACCCUGGAAUGCCGGUGGAAACUGUCAAGCUAGAGUCCGGAAGGGGAGUGUGGAAUUCCUGGUGUAGCGGUGAAAUGCGCAGAUAUCAGGAGGAACACCAAUGGCGAAGGCAGCACUCUGGGACGUGACUGACGCUGAGACGCGAAAGCGUGGGGAGCAAACAGGAUUAGAUACCCGCGUAGUCCCUGUCUCUUAUAA